Molecule: long non-coding RNA, 732 nt
Organism: Cygnus atratus (black swan)
Lineage: Eukaryota; Metazoa; Chordata; Aves; Anseriformes; Anatidae
Exons: 3
Source: RefSeq, a predicted model, not a curated record
GGAAAAACAGAUGGGAGUCUCUAGGUUCUCCCUAUAGCUCCCGUCUUUGCCUGUCAUCACCACAAACCUCCUUAGCAGUGACUAUCUGCAGUGUCUGCUGAUUUCAAAAUCUUCAAGUACUUCCACCAAAAGUGCUUUUCUGAACCCAACAAAAACAUAUUCUCUAAAUUUAGAGAGUCUUGAGGCUACAGAGGACUCCCUUUCAUGGACUUUCUGGCAUCGCUAAUGUCUGAGGAGUGAAGAAGUUUGUGGACUGUGCUAGAAGGAGACAUCAUCUGUAUUUGAGUUCAGAUCGCCAGGAGUUACACUCUUUGUGCAAUGAUUUCCUACCUCACGACAUCAAAGGCUCGCAAGCGCUGUGCUGAAUAAACUACCACUCAAAAAGAAAACCAGGAAAAAGAAUAACCCUGAAGAGCUGUGUCCAGCAGCCCAGUACACAGAACAAGACACGUCAUCACUUCUCCCCAUAUGUCACAGUCACUCUCUAAGAUGGAAAAACACAAGGAUUCCCAAUGGUCCAGCAGGAUGUCAGGAUGGUCUGUUGGUGAGAGAGUCCGCAGAGCUCUAGUUUCUACUGUAAGAAAAGCCACCAUUUCAUUACAUGGCUUGUAGCAACUCAAGCGGCUUUUCUUUUUAGCAGUCAACCUUGCUGUUAAAUUGUGGAAGAACAGAACCUUGUGGAAAGACAUCUAAGCUGACUUUUUUUUUCUGGUAAAUAAACUUUCUAAAGCA